RNAcentral lists this ribosomal RNA (791 nucleotides) under Salmonella enterica subsp. enterica serovar Tamberma. RNAcentral's name for it is "bacterial SSU rRNA". It matches the Rfam family "Bacterial small subunit ribosomal RNA", at positions 148 to 956 of the family's 1533-position model. The record is from RNAcentral. Lineage: Bacteria; Pseudomonadati; Pseudomonadota; Gammaproteobacteria; Enterobacterales; Enterobacteriaceae.
AUUUGGAAACGAAUGCUAAUACCUAAUAUUAUGAUAAUAGGGCAUCCUAUAAUUAUGAAAGCUAUAAGCGCUGUGAGAGAGCUUUGCGUCCCAUUAGCUAGUUGGAGAGGUAACGGCUCACCAAGGCGAUGAUGGGUAGCCGGCCUGAGAGGGUGAUCGGCCACAAGGGGACUGAGACACGGCCCUUACUCCUACGGGAGGCAGCAGUGGGGAAUAUUGGACAAUGGACCAAGAGUCUGAUCCAGCAAUUCUGUGUGCACGAUGAAGUUUUUCGGAAUGUAAAGUGCUUUCAGUUGGGAAGAAAAAAAUGACGGUACCAACAGAAGAAGUGACGGCUAAAUACGUGCCAGCAGCCGCGGUAAUACGUAUGUCACGAGCGUUAUCCGGAUUUAUUGGGCGUAAAGCGCGUCUAGGUGGUUAUGUAAGUCUGAUGUGAAAAUGCAGGGCUCAACUCUGUAUUGCGUUGGAAACUGUAUAACUAGAGUACUGGAGAGGUAAGCGGAACUACAAGUGUAGAGGUGAAAUUCGUAGAUAUUUGUAGGAAUGCCGAUGGGGAAGCCAGCUUACUGGACAGAUACUGACGCUGAAGCGCGAAAGCGUGGGUAGCAAACAGGAUUAGAUACCCUGGUAGUCCACGCCGUAAACGAUGAUUACUAGGUGUUGGGGGUCGAACCUCAGCGCCCAAGCAAACGCGAUAAGUAAUCCGCCUGGGGAGUACGUACGCAAGUAUGAAACUCAAAGGAAUUGACGGGGACCCGCACAAGCGGUGGAGCAUGUGGUUUAAUUCGACG